CAGUUCGGACUGUAGGCUGCAACUCGCCUACACGAAGCUGGAAUCGCUAGUAAUCGCGGAUCAGCACGCCGCGGUGAAUACGUUCCCGGGCCUUGUACACACCGCCCGUCACACCAUGAGAGCCUGUAACACCCAAAGCCGGUGGGAUAACCUUUAUAGGAGUCAGCCGUCUAAGGUAGGACAGAUGAUUAGGGUGAAGUCGUAACAAGGUAGC
This 214-nucleotide ribosomal RNA is filed under the name uncultured bacterium. RNAcentral's name for it is "partial 16S ribosomal RNA". It matches the Rfam family "Bacterial small subunit ribosomal RNA", at positions 1289 to 1500 of the family's 1533-position model. The record is from RNAcentral.